GACGAACGCUGGCGGCGUGCUUAACACAUGCAAGUCGAACGGAAAGGCCCCUUUGGGGGUACUCGAGUGGCGAACGGGUGCGUAACACGUGAGUAACCUGCCCUUGACUUCGGGAUAACUUCAGGAAACUGGGGCUAAUACCGGAUAGGAAUCCUUGCUGCAUGGUGGGGGUUGGAAAGCUUCGGCGGUUUUGGAUGGACUCGCGGCUUAUCAGCUUGUUGGUGGGGUAGUGGCUUACCAAGGCUUUGACGGGUAGCCGGCCUGAGAGGGCGACCGGCCACAUUGGGACUGAGAUACGGCCCAGACUCCUACGGGAGGCAGCAGUGGGGAAUAUUGCACGAUGGGCGGAAGCCGGAUGCAGCAACGCCGCGUGCGGGAUGACGGCCUUCGGGUUGUAAACCGAUUUCAGCAGGGGCGAAGCUUGUGGUGACGGUACCUGCAGAAGAAGCACCGGCUAACUACGUG
This 465-nucleotide ribosomal RNA is filed under the name uncultured bacterium. Its description in RNAcentral is "partial 16S ribosomal RNA". It matches the Rfam family "Bacterial small subunit ribosomal RNA", at positions 28 to 507 of the family's 1533-position model. The record is from RNAcentral.